RNAcentral lists this ribosomal RNA (532 nucleotides) under uncultured eukaryote. RNAcentral's name for it is "partial 28S ribosomal RNA". It matches the Rfam family "Eukaryotic large subunit ribosomal RNA", at positions 2366 to 2587 of the family's 3401-position model. The record is from RNAcentral.
CACAGCCAAGGGAACGGGCUUGGCAGAAUCAGCGGGGGAAAGAAGACCCUGUUGAGCUUGACUCUAGUCUGACUUUGUGAAAAUGACUUUGGAGGUGUAGCAUAAGUGGGAGGUUUACGUCGGUCUUGAAAUACCACUACUCUGAACGUUAUUUUACUUAUUUAAUUAAGUAGGACGUACGAGGUUCUCAAAUUUUGAGGCCUGACUUUUAGGGUUUUCAUUCUUUUUUUGUUUUUGUUUUGUUUUUGUGUUUUUCAACACGAUUUUAAAAGAAAAAAAAAAGAAAGACCUAAGAGUUGAAAGAAUUCAAGAGAGAGUUCAAGAUUUUCUUCUUGUUUUCUUCACCUUGUUUUCGGGUCUUCAAAUCAUUUUAUUACUUUUGUUAAAUUCUUGUUUUAAGUAAAAGAAACGACACGUUUCGGGAGCUCUGUUGAAGGGUUACUAGGUUCGACCUGUUAACUUUCUAUCUGAAACUCAACUAAGAGGCGCACGCGGCAUCACCACUACGUGUGUGUGUGUGUCGUCUGGUGCU